Molecule: ribosomal RNA, 497 nt
Filed under: uncultured bacterium
Lineage: Bacteria
Description: partial 16S ribosomal RNA
Rfam family: Bacterial small subunit ribosomal RNA
Source: RNAcentral
GAUGAACGCUGGCGGCGUGCCUAAUACAUGCAAGUCGAGCGAACGGACGAGAAGCCUGCUUUUCUGAUGUUAGCGGCGGACGGGUGAGUAACACGUGGAUAACCUACCUAUAAGACUGGGAUAACUUCGGGAAACCGGAGCUAAUACCGGAUAAUAUUUUGAACCGCAUGGUUCAAAAGUGAAAGACGGUCUUGCUGUCACUUAUAGAUGGAUCCGCGCUGCAUUAGCUAGUUGGUAAGGUAACGGCUUACCAAGGCAACGAUGCAUAGCCGACCUGAGAGGGUGAUCGGCCACACUGGAACUGAGACACGGUCCAGACUCCUACGGGAGGCAGCAGUAGGGAAUCUUCCGCAAUGGGCGAAAGCCUGACAGAGCAACGCCGCGUGAGUGAUGAAGGUCUUCGGAUCGUAAAACUCUGUUAUUAGGGAAGAACAUAUGUGUAAGUAACUGUGCACAUCUUGACGGUACCUAAUCAGAAAGCCACGGCUAACUACGUG